This 726-nucleotide long non-coding RNA is filed under the name Bos indicus x Bos taurus (hybrid cattle). RNAcentral's name for it is "lncRNA (ENSBIXG00005010901.1)". Lineage: Eukaryota; Metazoa; Chordata; Mammalia; Artiodactyla; Bovidae. The record is from RNAcentral.
AUGCCUACCCACUUCAGUAUUCUUGCCUGGAGAAUUCCAUGGACAGAGGAGCCUGGCGGGCUACAGUCCAUGGGAUUGCAAGAGUUGGACAAGACCAAGCGACUAACACUUGCACUUUCUGAGAAGGUCACAGAAUCUAUACAAAAGGGUAAUGGUUCACUUAACAAGAAAUGGAUUCAUUCUAGGAAUAUCACCUCUUAAAGAUAUUGUUUGCCGCUAUGUGAGCAGAUUCUCAGAGGGCUCUAACUGGGAUUGUGAAGCUGAGAUAUUCCAGAGGUGUCAUUCUCACUAGAAUCCAACAGUGGCCACCUAUUUCCACUUGGAGAUGAGUGUGAAGUGUGCUGUGACUUCAGGGACAUCAGGUCCUUGGUCCCAGGAGGUAAGCAGUUAGUGAUUUUCUCCCAAGAAGCAUAGACUGUUUCAAGAAACACAGCAUUUAUAAAAUAUGUGCUUGCCUUUGUCCUGACAAGUCCUUGUUUAAGUUAUCGUUUACAGAAAGACAUUAAAUCCCGGUUAUAAUCUUAUAUGUUUACAUGAAUCUGUAGCAUUAUCAUAAAAUCAUUUAUACAUUUCAUAACUGGAGAAAAUUUAGAAAAUUAAGAAAAUUUAGAAAAUUUAAGCCAGAUUAAAUAAUUCACUAAAAGAUCAUCUGGGUGAAAUCUAAUACAUUCUACUACUUGAAAAUAUGUAUAAUAAAAUUCCAUCCCACGCAAAUUGUUUGCUACA